This is a non-coding RNA of Populus trichocarpa (black cottonwood), 156 nucleotides long. The record is from Rfam. Lineage: Eukaryota; Viridiplantae; Streptophyta; Magnoliopsida; Malpighiales; Salicaceae.
UCUAGAACUCGAGAUAUGGGUUGAACACUGAAUAGUGUUUGGGCUGCAGGACAUAUUCCGACUUCUCUGUUGUUGCUACAAUUUGAACUUGAAAACGGUCCUUUUGAAUCUUAGACUCUUCAUGAAAGUUUUAGGACUAUGUCUUAGCUUUCCAUA